RNAcentral lists this long non-coding RNA (3148 nucleotides) under Sus scrofa (pig). Its description in RNAcentral is "lncRNA (ENSSSCG00040025699.1)". Lineage: Eukaryota; Metazoa; Chordata; Mammalia; Artiodactyla; Suidae. The record is from RNAcentral.
GGGACAGCUUGUAUGGUUGGCAGUUGUUUGAAUUGAGAAAUGGAUUUUAAUGAACUACAGUUUCUUUUGCUCAGCUGGAAUUGAAGUAGUCAAAGACUAAAUUAACAGUUGCCGGCAAAGCUAAUAUGACAGCCGUUGUCACAGAAAAGGAAAGGUAAGGGUUUAUUUUGUGCUGCUCUAUGAGGAUCAUGCUCUUGAAAUAAUGGGUUUUGCAACUUCACACUUUUGAGAUACUUUGGUGUUCUUUUUAAGAUACCAAAAGGCUCCGCCAAGAUAGUUUUAUUUAUUUUUUAUUUCAUUUUUUCUUUUUUAGGGCUCCACCUGCAUGCCUGCAGCAUAUGGAAGCUCUGCUCCAGGCAUCAAACUGGAGCAAUAGCUGAGGCCUAGGCCGUAGCCACAGUAAUGGGGGAUCCCAGCUGCUUCUGCCACCUACACUGCAGCUUGCAGCAAAGCUGGAUCCUUAACCUAUUGAAUGAGGCCUGGUAUUGAAUUUGUGUCUUCAUGGACACUAGUCAGGUUCUUAACCCACUGAGCCACCACUGGAACUCUCUUCAAGGUAGUUUUGAAAAUCUCAGAGGUCAGGAGAAGGGUAGCAACCUGGCUGAAAGUCAUUCAUUAUUAAUCAGAUAGUAAUUUAUAUUCAUCUUGUGACUUAGGGUACAUUGUCUGAGAUUUUACUUCAUCAUGGCCAAGUGCACUAGGUCCCUAACAGUAUUCCUUUUGUUGUUUGUUUUUUUCAUCUUUUUAGGGCCAAACUAGCAGUAUGUGGAGGUUCCCAGGCUAGGGGUUGAAUCAGUGCUGUAGCCGCCAGCAUGCCCCACAGCUCACAGCAACACCGGAUUCUUAACCACCGAAUGAAGCCAGGGAUCGAACCUGCGUCUUUAUGGAUACCAGUCAGAUUCGUUUCCACUGAGCCACGACGGGAACUCCAUUAUUCCUCUUGAACAUCUAAGGAUACAAAUGCAGAUAAAGGUUAAUUCAUAUGGACCAACAGAAUAAAAAUUAGAAUUAAUAUUCCCUAACUUUUAAUUUAAUGAGUAGUGUAGUUCCUACUACUUCUGUGUGCCUCAUAAACAUUGCUUCAGGCAUUUUGAAAGCACUUUUUAUUACACAGUAUGCAAAUUAAAAUUAUUAUCAAGUUUGUUGUUCAUUUUUUUUGUUCUUUUGUUGUUCAUAUUUAGUUCAUUACUUCCUAGGGAAGUGAACUUGCUGAUUACUUUUGCAGAAAACUGCUAACGAUGUGUUUUAAAUACAGUCUUACUCAUUUAUCAUUUUGAUAUAGACUUAGAUUUAAUACACUAUACAGUUAGUUUCUUUAAAAGCCAUGUAACAAUUUUGCAACAAAGUGGAAAUGUUGUGACUUAAAUUUGAAAUGCACCAUCUUUCCAAAAGCUUGGAUGAAACAAAAUGAAAGAAUAAUCUAGUGAAAAAAACCUGCAUCACAAAAAAGUCUUUGUUCCUCUCUUGUCGUGACAGAUUGCAUUUUAUUCCCAAUGAUAAAGUAUAAAGAUAUAUCCUUUGUAAAUAUCUCUUGAGUUUAGGGUGACUAAGUCACUGCAGUUUGCCCAGGACUUGGCAAGUUUUAGCUCUGAAAGUCUCUCUUUCUGGGAAACACCUCAAGUGCAAGCAAAUUAGGAUGGUUGAUCAUUCUACUUGUAUAUGAAAAUUUCCUAGGUAGAGUAGGGUUCAGGAGUGGCUUGCUUCAGGGCUCAAAUAAUGUCAUCUGGGGUCCACCUCAGGAUAGGCUGCAUUCUCGGGCUUGACAAAAUGGCCACUGAUAAUUUCAGGGGACUGGAACUCAUUUCCUCAUUUUUAGUAAAAUGAGUCAAACUUCAAACCUUAUUUUUCCACUCCAUCAAAACCAGUAGGUGUUCCUAUCAUGGCAGAGCGUGAAUGAAUCUGACUAGGAACCAUGAGAUUUCAGGUUCAAUCCCUGGCCUUAUUUAUAGCUUAAGGAUCUGGCAUUGCCGUGAGCUGUAGUGUAGGUUGCAGACGGGCUUGGAUCUGAUGUUGCUGUGGCUGUGGUGUAGGCUGGCAGCUGUAGCUCCCAUUGGACCCCUAGCCUGGGAACCUCCAUGUGCUGCGAGUGCAGCUCUAAAAAGCAAAAACAAAACGAAACAAAACAGUAGAAGUAGAAAAAGUGUCUAUCUUACAGNUGGUUUGUUCUACCAAUCAGGAUCCAUUUCUAGAGCUGGAGAUGAAGUUGAUGUGUGGUUGAUGAUACAUUUUCCUAAGAAAAUUUUGUUGUCUUCAAAGAGAAGGGAGGUAAUAUUGGCUAUUAGCAAUAUUUCAGCCUUUUACCUUGCCCACAAUUGAGAAAUGUAGGGAACUUUUGCUUUUGUGAAGGAUGUAGUAAGUAGUAGUGGCAGGUCAUGGCUUCUGUCAUAAAAGUUGGGGAGAAAAACAGAGAAAUUACAAAAAUUGCAUUUUUAAAGAUCUUGGACAGAUGAUCAAAAAAAGGACUGGAUCAUUAGUUCUCAGACUUUAACAUGUAUUGGAAUUAUCUGGAGGGCUCUUAUUGUUGUUGUUGUCUUUUUAGGCCCACACCCAUGGCAUAUGGAGGUUCCCAGAGUAGGACUUGAAUCAGAGCUACAGCUGCCAGCCUACACCACAGCCACAGCAAUAUGGGAUCCGAGCCACAUCUGCAACCUACACUGCAGCUCACGGCAAUGCCAGAUCCUUAACCGACUGAGCAAGGCCAGGGAUUGAACCUGCAUUUUCAUGGAUGCUAGUUGGGUUUGUUAGCUGCUGAGCCACCACAGGAACUAUAGGAGAGCUUGUUGAAACAGUUACUGGGUUUCACUCUAUAGAGUUGUUGAUUCAUUAGGCAUGAGUUGGGACCAGGAAAUUUUUGUUUCUAACAUGUUUUCAGAUACUGCUGAUUUGGUGACCAUACUAAACUAGAUGGAAUAAAAUUUCAGGGGAAAGAGCCCUUCCUAAUAAGCAGAGAUUUCUGCCCAGUUUCUUCCCAAGGGACAUAGUACUGAGCCUGCAGAGGCAUGUGUUCAAUCCCUGGCCUGGUACAUGGGUUAAGGAUCCCUCAUUGCCACAGCUAUGGCAUAGGUUGCUGCUGUGGCUCGGGUUCAAUCCCUGGCUUGGAGCUUCCAUAUGCCAUGAGUGUGGCCAAAAGAAAAAGAAAAAAAAAAAA